RNAcentral lists this ribosomal RNA (433 nucleotides) under uncultured bacterium. RNAcentral's name for it is "partial 16S ribosomal RNA". It matches the Rfam family "Bacterial small subunit ribosomal RNA", at positions 29 to 507 of the family's 1533-position model. The record is from RNAcentral.
AACGAACGCUGGCGGCAGGCCUAACACAUGCAAGUCGAGCGGACCCUUCGGGGUUAGCGGCGGACGGGUGAGUAGCGCGUGGGAAUAUGCCCUUCUCUACGGAAUAGUCCUGGGAAACUGGGGGUAAUACCGUAUACGCCCUUUGGGGGAAAGAUUUAUCGGGGAAGGAUUAGCCCGCGUUGGAUUAGGUAGUUGGUGGGGUAAUGGCCUACCAAGCCGACGAUCCAUAGCUGGUUUGAGAGGAUGAUCAGCCACACUGGGACUGAGACACGGCCCAGACUCCUACGGGAGGCAGCAGUGGGGAAUCUUAGACAAUGGGGGCAACCCUGAUCUAGCCAUGCCGCGUGAGUGAUGAAGGCCUUAGGGUUGUAAAGCUCUUUCAGCUGGGAAGAUAAUGACGGUACCAGCAGAAGAAGCCCCGGCUAACUCCGUG